RNAcentral lists this transfer RNA (64 nucleotides) under Petalocephala chlorophana. Its description in RNAcentral is "tRNA-Ser". The record is from RNAcentral. Lineage: Eukaryota; Metazoa; Arthropoda; Insecta; Hemiptera; Cicadellidae.
AGUUGUUUAGCUUAUGAAAAGUUUAUAUUUUGAAAAUAUAAGAAAGAGUUUACUUUAAUGGCUU